GUGGGGAAUCUUCCGCAAUGGACGAAAGUCUGACGGAGCAACGCCGCGUGAGUGAAGAAGGUUUUCGGAUCGUAAAGCUCUUUCGUUAGGGACGAACGUGCUCUUUGUGAAUAAUGAGGAGUAAUGACGGUACCUAAAUAAGAAGCCACGGCUAACUACGUGCCAGCAGCCGCGGUAAUACGUAGGUGGCAAGCGUUGUCCGGAAUUAUUGGGCGUAAAGCGCGCGCAGGCGGGAUAUCAAGUCUGUCUUAAAAGUGCGAGGCUCAACCUCGUGAGGGGACAGAAACGGGUAUUCUUGAGUGUCGGAGAGGAAAGUGGAAUUCCAAGUGUAGCGGUGAAAUGCGUAGAGAUUUGGAAGAACACCAGUGGCGAAGGCGACUUUCUGGACGAUGUCUGACGCUGAGGCGCGAAAGCUAGGGGAGCGAACGGGAUUAGAAACCCGUGUAGUCC
RNAcentral lists this ribosomal RNA (450 nucleotides) under uncultured bacterium. Its description in RNAcentral is "partial 16S ribosomal RNA". It matches the Rfam family "Bacterial small subunit ribosomal RNA", at positions 354 to 796 of the family's 1533-position model. The record is from RNAcentral.